AGUGAACGCUGGCGGUAGGCCUAACACAUGCAAGUCGAACGGCAGCACAGUAAGAGCUUGCUCUUACGGGUGGCGAGUGGCGGACGGGUGAGGAAUACAUCGGAAUCUACUUUUUCGUGGGGGAUAACGUAGGGAAACUUACGCUAAUACCGCAUACGACCUACGGGUGAAGGCAGGGGAUCUUCGGACCUUGCGCGAUUGAAUGAGCCGAUGUCGGAUUAGCUAGUUGGCGGGGUAAAGGCCCACCAAGGCGACGAUCCGUAGCUGGUCUGAGAGGAUGAUCAGCCACACUGGAACUGAGACACGGUCCAGACUCCUACGGGAGGCAGCAGUGGGGAAUAUUGGACAAUGGGCGCAAGCCCGAUCCAGCCAUACCGCGUGGGUGAAGAAGGCCUUCGGGUUGUAAAGCCCUUUUGUUGGGAAAGAAAAGCAGCAGGUUAAUACCCCGCUGUUCUGACGGUACCCAAAGAAUAAGCACCGGCUAACUUCGUG
RNAcentral lists this ribosomal RNA (492 nucleotides) under uncultured bacterium. RNAcentral describes it as "partial 16S ribosomal RNA". It matches the Rfam family "Bacterial small subunit ribosomal RNA", at positions 29 to 507 of the family's 1533-position model. The record is from RNAcentral.